AUGCUCACUUUGUUAGCACAUAUACUACAAUAGGAGCAAUAAAGAGAUUACCAUAGCCCUUGCACAAGGAUGAAAAGCAAAUUCAUGAAACAUUUCAUAGUUUU
Small nuclear RNA from Erinaceus europaeus (western European hedgehog), 104 nucleotides. Lineage: Eukaryota; Metazoa; Chordata; Mammalia; Eulipotyphla; Erinaceidae. The record is from Ensembl.